CCUGAGCGAUAAGUAUUAAAGUUAACAAUGAAUUAAUUUUAAAUAAAUGACUUUGAGACUUUUUGAGAAUUUUCGUAGAGAUAUAAAAUUACAAGAACGUUUCUGACGUAUGUAAAAUGUUAAUACAUUUGAUAAUUAGUUACGGCAACUUACGAUCCUUCCUUCGAAGUUAGCUCACGUAUCAUCGCUAGUGUAUUCUUUGCUUCUCUAUUUUCCUCCACUGUACACAUAAAAAGAUAAAAAGUUGAGUGUUUAGCAUUUCAUAUUGCAUAUCUUUAUAUUACUGGAUGAAAGAUCAAAUUUAUCUUUAUAAGUCGAGUUACAAGAGGCACCAUGAAAAAUGAAGAAUAGUUAAUUUGUCGAGAAUGAGGAACGUCGGUGAUUUUGAAAAUAUCUGUAAUUAAUUUAUAAUUAAAAUCUUACGUUGCAAUCGGCUUCGUACGGUGUCCAGCGGGAAGAAGGUUGCCAUAGCGAUAACGCUACCCUACAAAGGAAAUA
This is a long non-coding RNA of Vespa mandarinia (Asian giant hornet), 498 nucleotides long. The record is from RefSeq and is a predicted model, not a curated record. NCBI's taxonomy places the organism in Eukaryota, Metazoa, Arthropoda, Insecta, Hymenoptera, Vespidae.